GCUGUGCUCUGAUCCCUUUAAAAAAAGAAUUAAUGGCUGAUUCUUCUUCUCUUAUCUGAGGGAAAUGGUCUGAUAUGUUAUUUCAUACAUACCUUCUCUGUUUCUUCCUCCUACUUUCUUACCCUAGUUGGUGGGGCCAUUUAGUUUUAAGUAAACUGGGAAAAAGGGAUAGAUGUAGGCCAUGUAGCCAAGUAAAUCUAGACUGUGGACUGUGAAUAGUUAUGCUUCGCCGCUUUUUUUUCUUAUGUCAUCUUUAGUCACUCCUGGGAAAGUGUUGACAAGUAUUGCAACUUCCUGGGCAAGGAUUGAAGAGUUGUUCUGUUUUUGUAGUCGAAUCGAAAGAGAAUUUCGACAAAUGAAGUCAUAGAUGUAUAUAAAAUAUGGAAAGGAUAUCUUGGCUUUCAUGCUAAUUCAACUACAGAAGGUGUUACGUUGUUGAUAACGCAUGAUUUUCUCUUCUGAAACCAGCUUCUAGUUGGGAUAGCGGAAAUUUAAUGUUAUAAACCGUAUGUCUUGACUUUGCAGUACCUUCAAGGCUCCAAGAUUAUGGUGUGUAUGGAAGAUCUGGUGAGCACAACCCGCUAUGUUUCUUGGUCUCUUCAUAACAAGUUUGCUCAAACAACCUGGUAACUGCAAAUUACUUGUACAAGUUUAAAUGGCAAGACGGAGAACGAAAAAUCAGCAUUUAUAAUUUCAGUUCAUUGGUGAAGAAACUACAGCUGCCUUUGGUGCUACAGAGUUGACGGAUUAUCCUACAUGGAUUGUUGACCCACUUGAUGGGACAACUAACUUUGUGCAUGGGUUCCCGUUUGUUUGUGUUUCUAUUGGUCUCACCAUUGGAAAAGUCCCAACUGUCGGUGUCGUGUAUAAUCCAAUUAUGAAUGAGGUAUAUACUCCGAGGAAUGCGCCUUAUGCUAGUGAGGAAUUGAUGUGGUUCGUGAGCAAUUGGCUAAGUGUUUUACCAGCAAGUAUUUAUUAUUGGCCUCAGCGAGUUUGGUCGAGUUGUUUGAUAUUAAAAUGUAUGCAUACGUUGAAAUUAGAACGAACAAAUAUUUAAAUGUAGUACAUGCACUUUGGUUUUGGAAUAUAUUAAUAUACAAAACAACAAUUAUUGUUUUUA
This is an RNA transcript of Spinacia oleracea (spinach), 1120 nucleotides long. It is a transcript of the gene named inositol monophosphatase-like, with no coding region annotated. The transcript has 5 exons. The record is from RefSeq and is a predicted model, not a curated record. NCBI's taxonomy places the organism in Eukaryota, Viridiplantae, Streptophyta, Magnoliopsida, Caryophyllales, Amaranthaceae.